RNAcentral lists this unclassified non-coding RNA (501 nucleotides) under Hevea brasiliensis (rubber tree). Lineage: Eukaryota; Viridiplantae; Streptophyta; Magnoliopsida; Malpighiales; Euphorbiaceae. The record is from RNAcentral.
AAAAAAAUUGAUGGGACUAUAAAUUUGGUUACAAGAAGAAUGAGAAAAAUAAAACAUUCAGAAGCCUUAAAACUGGGUUGAUUCUUUUAGGGGUGGAUGUUUGCAUCCUUUGAAAAUUGAUGAUGAGUGUGAUGCUGGUCAAACUUGUAUGAGCACCUAUGUGGGUGUCUGAUUGGAUUUUUAGUAUUCAGAUAAGAAAGCUCCUAUGAUGUUAUCAAUGAUGAAGGCAAGCCAAAUGAUGUUAGCAGUUUCAUGCUUUGGGCUGAUAAAUUGCUUUGGUAUGGGAGCUAACAGUUGAUUCUCGAGUGGCAAAAUAAUUUAGGAAGGUGUGUUGGCUUGCUUAGGUUGCAUGUCAUGGUGGAAUAUUGGGUUUUUAGAGCUUAGUAUGGUGAAGAGCUUGUUUCAAAAGAAUAAAACUUUUAAAGUUGUUAAAUUUUAUGAUCUUCCAUGCGAGAUAUUGGAAUCUUUCUCAUCCUAGCUUGUUUUCUGUUUUGGGAAUGG